Long non-coding RNA from Anneissia japonica, 12610 nucleotides. RefSeq lists it as uncharacterized. The transcript has 7 exons. NCBI's taxonomy places the organism in Eukaryota, Metazoa, Echinodermata, Crinoidea, Comatulida, Comatulidae. The record is from RefSeq and is a predicted model, not a curated record.
CGUCUAUGUUUUGAAAUACAAACAGAAAUGUAUCUAAUUGUGUAUCAGAAUUAAAAUUAAGAAUUACAAUUAUGUGUUAAAACCACAUGGAAUUGUUUAAAAAUUGAUUGUAAUUUUUGGAGUAACUAGGUCUUAUGUCAUUUUUACCUUCAUUUUAUCCCAUAGAAUUAUGUUUUCAUUGGGUUAUAAAGUCACUUGUUUUGUGUCUAACAAAUAAAUGUUGGUACAAUACUGUUAAUAAGAAUGUUUGCUAGAUUGAUACCAGAAUCUAUUUUUGUUGGAUAUGAAACAAAGAAAAGAAUCUUUAUAAAUGAUACAUUUAAAAAAAUAAAUAUUUUCCAUCUCUGUACAAUAAUAUCUCUUAUGUGGGGAAUACCACAAGAUUAUCUGGUAAACAAUAUGCAGUUCUUACAAUGGUAUUUGUACAGUCAUAUUUCAAUAUAUUUUUAUGUGAUUUCUUUUCAUGUAUUUUUUUACAUUCAUUAAUUUCCUUUUGUGUUAGUUUUCUAUUUUUCAAUUCAUUUUUUUUCUGAUGUUUUUCACUGUGGACCUUUGCACCUCUCUUUUUCUUGAAUAUGCAAAAGUGGUUAAUGCAUAUUCAUAGGUAUUUCUGAGCAUGCGCAGUGGCAACUCGGAGGAUGGCAGGGAGAGGUGCGAAGGUCCGCAGAUUAGAGAUCGAGAGUACCUAAAGGAUAAUCACGUAUCAUCGGACAAAAAAACAAAACUCUUUUACCGUAGAAUUUCUCUGUGGUUCAAAAUGUUAUUAUUACUACAACAAUCUUUCUUCAAAUAUCAUGGUCAAUUCUUCUUUUCAUCUAUUAAUCAUUUCAACUAUCUGUGCUUCACUAUCUACAGUUGUACUAACAUGUAGAAUAUUCUUUUUUUAUGUUUCUUAUUAUAGCUUAUAUUUCACUAAUCAGGCCAAAAAAAAAAAUUGUCAAGUUGCCCAAGCUGUGACAUUUGGAAAUUGGGGUUGUCGCUGCUGCAAUAUUUUUUUUCUAGAAUUUAUUGUCAUAUCACUAAUUUCAUUUUUUUUAUAAGAGAGAAUUUUUUGCUAACUGGCAACACAACAUUUUUUGUCGGUAAAGCUUGGGCAAUACGGGAUGUUUUUUUUUGGUCUCCAGCUAUUGAUUUCCAUUUCUGCACCCUUGCGCUUUUCUAUGUGCAUGAAAUUAUCCAAAACAUUUAAAAAUCUUGAUAUAUCUUAAAUAUUAAAUUAUUAAAAUUUGAAAUUAAAUAUCUGUUAAUCUGUUAUGGUAAGAUUGAUAAGAGAAGUCAUAUUUUUGAUUCUAGCCUUCAUCACCUUAAUGAUGUUUUGAGUUGUUGGGCUUCAGUAUCUAAUGCUUCGCCACACAUAAACCUGCUUUCAGUCUGUGUCCUCGGCUCACAGAUGCUUAAUCAGAAACAUAAAAUAACUACGGUAAAUAGAUAUAAACACUAAAACAGGGGCUACGUUUUUUGUAGCAUUGAAUAGCAAUAGCUAAUAGAAUAUUAUGUUCAUUAUUGGUACAAACAAACAAUGAAACCAGUUUAUCAUUUUACACUACUGGUGCUGCCUGUAAACAGUGAUUCUUACUUUGUUUGUCUGGUACAGAACAAGUAAGAUUACCGUUGUUUGUUUGAUCAACAAUGGUUAUUUCAUGCAUUUUUCUGUUGGUGAAGGUUUGCAUGUAAAAGUUAUAGCUUCUAAAAUACCAUAUAUAAUUCUAAGCAGCUUAAUUUUAUAAUUCUGUUAUUUUUUAUUUUAUUUAUAUCAAUAUAUAUCUGUAUCUACCUACUAAGAUCUUAUAAUUAAUUAAGUAUUUUGAUCCGUCACUGUAUUAAAACCAAUAAUUCGCUGUUAAUUUAUAUUAUUUAAAUAUUCAUAUAUACUGUACCAAAGUAGAUAAUGGAACACAGAAAUUUAAUAGACAACAGCUAUCAAUGGUGGCAUGUUAGUGUUAACGCCUAAUUAUUGAAAACUGAUUAUCAGCGUAAAGUUGUAACAAAUGUCAAAAUAUAUCCCAUACACAUUUUCAGUAAAUUAAUAGUUCAGUUUCAUCAGCUGAUGUCAUGCAGCUCUAUAUACGCACUGAUUAUUUUUUCAUUUUUUUUUAAUGCAUCAAAUGAAUAUCCCUUCAAAAGCAAUAUUUUUUUAUAUAUUUAAAUUUUUUUUCAAAUGUUUUCCAUUCAAAUAUCAUGCUUUGUAGCCCAUAUACCUCGCCUCAUUUUGCAGUCCUUAAUACAAAUGACCUGGCUUGACACGUUCCAAAUACAUCGGUUUGAUAAUACAUCCAAACAUUCAGAGCGCUCGGUAUUGUUUAUGUGGUAUGCUUCUUGUCUCGCCACUAACACAUACAAAUGUUAACAUCCGGGUAUGCUUUGCGCGUUUGCAUUGUAUGUUUAGAUUUGUCAAACCAGUACAUUUAGUUGUUUUGUGGCUUCGUCAAGCGAGAUCAUUUCUAACAUUGAUUAAUUCAACACUGGUGUUUUUUGAUUAUUUUUUUCCGUGGUAUACUUGUAGUGGCCAACUGGAUUUAAGUGUUUGUCUGUUUUACUGGGUUGCUUCUGCAUGCGGGUACUGCAUUAAAAUAGUGGUGUAGCUACGGUGACCCUGGGUGACCCCUGCUCUUAUUGCAAUACCGAAAACCUGUUAUUACACCUUGAUAUUCUUCAUAUCAUGAAUCAAGAAAUUUCUGUAGAAGAAACAGUAAUUUUCCAUCAGUUUGUGCAUCAGUGGGAGAAAAAAUGAAAUUUCAUGAAUGAAAUUGUUUAUUUAUUUGACAUCUUAAACAAUGAUCAUGAAAUGUUUGUUGCUUAAUUUUUUGUUGACACCUAGGUCUCUAUAGCUACAUUACCACGUAAGUCAUAUAAUUAACUAUUCGACAUUAGGCCUAUUUAAAAUUAACAUUUGCCAUGUCUUGAAGACUAAAAAUAUACUGUUUGGAGUUUCAGAUUUCAAUUCUUACAAUAAUCCUGAUGAUAUAGAUUAGCCUUUACCCUACUCAUUAACUUAACUUAACUAGAGUAAUUAAUUAAUUACUGAGUUCCAGCUAAUCAUGGCACCCAGUUGGUCACAUCAAUUCUAAACAAGUAUUUUCAAAAAAUAAUUGAGUGGUUUUUUUAAACUAUGACGUGUUUUAUAAUUCAUCUAACAUUCAGUGUGAAAAGAGGUAUUAACACCUACCCCAAAUUAAUGAGCUAUUAUUUUAUUAUGUUAUUAUGGAACCAGGUUAUUAUUUGAAGGGAUAAGAAUAACUAAAGUAUAAACUGAUCUUAAAAUAUGGUAUGUGAAGUAUCUUUGUAUUUUAUAGUUUAAACAAUUGUAUAAAUAAAGAGUGAUCAUAAACAAACUUAAUUUUCUAUGUAAUAAAGAUGCAACAUAAUUCUGCCCGGGUGGAUUGUCGAUGUAAGGAUACUUGUCAAAUUGUAAAUUAGAUAACAGAUAAUUAGCGUGUAAAAUAGGACAUUGAUUAAGAAUCGUAAACCAGCUUGUAGGCAUAGGAUCUAUUAUAAAGCCAAGACUUUGUACCUCUUACAAUCUGUUUGUACCUUAGAACAAUUUAAUCUAUUUUUAACAUACUUUACAUGUCCAAUUCAUCACAUAUUCAUGUAUAUGUUGACUUUUUUGAUAAUUAAUAAUUAUGAAUGUUUAAAAUAUUAUUCAUCAUUGAUGAUACAGUACAUCUUAAGUAUUUGUAAAUGAUUAAUUUAAAUAUUUCGACUGUUAUCGAUUUAAGAUCCUGUUUUAAUCCCAUUGAUUAAUUCCAUACAUUUCUUGAUUUGUCUGGCGAGUACUUGUUAUGAGCUUGUACAGCUGAAUCGAGUCGUAUCGAAAGUCUUAUCACGAAUACGAAUAUGACUACAGGAUAUCAAAUAGCGACUACAUUUUUAUGGACAAAUAAUACGCGGUUCGAGCGAAAAAAAAAAAAGCUUUGGAUGACUUUCGUUUAUUAUAACGCUUUGAUUUUGUAGCCUACCUGACCAUUUAUUUUGUUUGUUCUGCAAGAAUUCCUACACCGUCACCCGCAUUAACUUCUGUUUAAUUCUGACCGUGUAUCUUUUUUUGCCAAAAAUAAAAACUCGCAAAAGGAACGUGGACUUCUAGAUUAACAGAAUGACUUGUUUUCACAAUAUUCUCUGAGAUAUUAUAAGCUUCACAAAUUAGCCACCAGAAAUUAAACUGAAACACACGUGUAUUACUUGGACCUAUAAAAAAUUCCUGUUUGCACACGCAUAUUUUGUUUGAAAUAUCGACUGAGUUUUAGCAGACAUUAUAAUCUGCUUGCAAAAAAAACUUGAUGUUUUUGUGGACUAUAUUGUUACCAUUAUGUGGACAGUUGUGUCCAGCGAAGACCGAAUGUGUACAUCAAGGGUGAGGAAGAGGAUUCAACCUAACUGCUUAACUCUGUCUAGAUUCGCAUGAAAGUGUUGCCAUGGUUUUAAAUAACUAAUGCGUCUAGACUGUUCGCAAGUGACUCAACCAUAGAAAAACAUCUCUUGGAUAAUGCUUUCAAUAGGCUGUGCUGCAAAAAAUUUCAUAAAGGUGUGAAUGAUAUUAAUAACCGGCUGCUAACAUCAAAGGAUUGACUGCUGAAAUAGAAAAAAUGUGGAAAUACAUUAUUUACUACCAUAGAUUAACCGAGUCAUCUACAAGUUGAACUUGUGUCCUGAGAUUGUCAUCGGAAGAAUUAUUACAUCAAGCUACAGACCACCAUGAUAAAGGAGUAUUACAGAAUAUACCCAUCAGAAAAGAUGCCAUACGGAGGACACCAACACCACAGGUAUGCCAUAAUAAUUUUUUUUUAAACCCAAGGGUUGACAUCUUUGGCAGUGUCCAUGCAGUGCGUAUGACUCAACUAAUGUGGAAUAUGGUUCAGUACCAUGGAAGAGAUGCCAUCUCGCCAAAGGAACACCACCUUUAAAGAAAAACUAUUAUGGAAGAGAUAGCAAUUUGAGACGCCGCACAUCGUGGAAGAAACUCCGUCUAGGAAGAUAUGCCAUCUUGGAAGAGACGCAAUCUUGGAAGCAACGCCAUCUUCAGGAAAUAACCACCACCUCCUCAUUGGAUCUUAGAAGUUGUAGAGAUUGAUCAGAGGUCACCCUAAGUUUAACAAUCAGAGAGAUUUUGAACUGUUCGUCAAAGUGGAAAAAUAAUGCAGUGCAGUGUUAGCAUGUUGAGAUGUCGUGGAUGAAUAUGGAAAAGCCGCAAUAAUAUAAGGAUGGAAAUGGCAACGUUCUCAUGGUUAGACCAACCAACCUCAGCAACAACUCAAUUCAGCACAAACCCAUUUUACUCUUAUUCUGCAAGAAAUUCCAUCAUCUAUCUUGAACAGCUGGGCUGUUGAGAAUGUAAUGAUCCGGCGAUGGGUCGCCAUGUUUUUGUAAUAUCACCAUAUUGUCGUCUUUUCAGAGUUGUACAAUAUUUGACAGGUGUGUUGUACUGAACAUUCGACAGGUUCGCUCUAAUGACAAAGCAGAAAACAACUGGCGUCGUCUUAGACAAGAAGGUUAAGUGUCAUUCUAAGUACUAGGUGGACAUUAAGAUCCUAUGAGUCAAAGGUGUACGAGAUAAAAAUACCAGUCACAACAGAUAAUUGAUUUAAGGAGAGCAAAACCAAAUUGAUGUGUAACAUAAAAUGAAAUGAAAUUUAAGGAUGGUUGACUCAUCAAAAGAUUGAAGGAUAAAUGACGAGACAUUUGAGGAUGCCACAGAUCUGGACAAUAGACAAUCAGGUUCAAGGACAAAAGUAGCCUAAGCAACAGUCGACAGAUGCAACAUCAUCGGAAAUUGAAGCAUCCUGGAAAACGGUCAAUGAAUAAUACAACAUCAACGGAUGUUGAUGCUUACUUCCUAUUACACCCAUGCAACCAAUUUGACAUUUACGUCAUAAAAAACAUCAUUAUUUUCUGUUACUAUGCAUCAGUCUUUAUUGACUAUAUUCUUACUAUUUAUUCUUUAUGUGUACCCUGCAACUAAAUUACCAAAAAAACCAAACUUGCUUUCAACCUUUGUUUCAAAAUAUAUUCUGUAUAAUUUGUUAACACUGUGGAAUAGUAUGUCCGUAAUUGUUUUGGAGGGAUUUUAACAAAAAUAUGGAAACACAAAUUACUUCACAUUACAUUUAUUAUAAGAUAAAGUAUAUUUAUAAAUUAUUUUCAAGUAAUGAACAUUUGCUCACGUAAAAUUAUUUAUCAUAUAUUAGAAUUUAUUCAAAUUAUUAUAAAAAUACUGUGCAGUACCCAAGAAUUUACUUUCAGUAAAUUUGGAAGCAUGCAUUGUAACAAAUUACAGAUAAUAGGCUCGGCAAAUAUCAUGGUUGUGGAAAUAUAGUAGUUUUAUUUGCAGUACAGAAUCGACAAUUAACUAUGUGCAUACAGAGCUUCUUUUGAAUAGAAUCACACAUGCUACGUGAACCUGCUGAGGAGAUUCGUUUUAGAGGCCAUAAUAAGGUUCAACAAAACCGCAUACAAACGUUUUACAAAACAAUUUCAAUGUAUAAAUAGAAAAGGUCAAAUUGAUCCAGUAAACAAUGUUGCAAUAUUAAUAUUUAAUAUUUCAAAAAGUGUUACCAGUCUGAUUUUUUUCUCUGAUCAAUAUGUAAAUUGGUCAUGUGAUGUUAUAAAGUUCAUGUAAUGUUAUAAAGGUCAUGUCUUAAAGCAAUAUAUAGUAUAGGAUACUGAGUGGGAUAUAGAUUGCUUGGCAUAUCUAUUGCUUGACAUAUCUCUAUUAAUUAUGAAAUAAUAUAACAUUAAAGUAUUAAUUUAAUCCUCCAUUUAUAAUUCCCAAAUAUAUGUAUUAAAAAUAUCAAGAACAAAUAUAGAAACCAAAUUUUGCUCAUAGAUUAAGUACUGAAAAGAGCAAAGGUGAAUGUUUUUCCAUAAGUAUCUCCUCUCCCAUCACAUAUUUUUGUUUUGUUGUUUAUGUGAUGUUCCUUAUCUUGAUCUUGAAUCACAAUUGUUAAUAAUUUUGUUCACUAUACAUGCAAUCCGGUGGUUUUCAAUUAAUUGACUAACGUGAGAUUAACCAAUUCGUGAAUUUCUAAGAGAUCAUAUAGCACAUAUUCUGUCAUGUACACUAGAUCGUCCGUACAGAUAUAGAAUACUAAAGAUCGCAAUCAGUGACAAUAUAUGUGUUCAGUGAAACGUAGCAUUAAAUGGUGAGUGUUGUACUGAAUUAGUUGACUGCUGAUAGGCAUAGCAACAUUGGAAUGCAGUCAUGCGUAACAUCUAAUGAAUAUUCGAAAGCAAUAAUGACAAUAUGAUGUUGACUGGAUGAGAUGCUCUUGUCAAGAGUUUCAUGUGAUGCUUCUGCAAAUUCCAAUACAUAAUUGCAUGAUUUUAUCACAAAUAAAUGUUUCAAAUAAACAUUGCACUGUAUAGUAAGCUAGCAGUGUAUAGUCAUGGUUUCAAAUGCCACAUAUUAUAGUGUCUUUAAACAACAUAUAAUAAUAUUAAUAAUUGGGAAAUUUGACAUUGUUCUUUGACAUUAUAAUCAAGCACAAAAAGUUAGAAUUUCAUUCCAUAAGAUAUUUCACCCUGUGUUGUGUGAGAUAUAUAUCAUAGUAUAUAUUGUAUUUUAUAUGUGAUGUAUACAACACUUUUAUCCAUACAUUUAUUUGUAAUGUUUUUUAAUAAUGUUAAUAUUAUUUUAUAUAUUCUUGCCAGUUUCAAAAUCUUAUUAGUAAAAACUGUAAAACUUCCAUUCCAUUUUUUAGUUGAAAAUACAAUUUCUGAUUACUAUUAUUAUUAAGGCUUCAUUCAUUAAGUAUAUAUAUAUUAUUUUGUUUCUAAACAUAACUGAGUUAACCCUGUCUAUAUUAAAAUGCAAUGAUUUAAAUUAUAAUAUAAUAUUCUCCCAUAUGAAUAUUUUUCGAAAUAUGUGUUUGCAUUUGUAUCGGCUAAAACGUGCCACGAUUGAAAAUUCAUUUAAUUAAAGCGGUAAAGUUUAUAAAAAUAAAACCUAACAAGGUACAGUAUUUUAAUAAAGUAAUCUUUAGUAUUCAAAGCCUAAUAAUAUAAAGAUUAAAUUUUUAUUUGUAAUUUUUUAAAUAUUUCAAAAAAAAAUUAUUGAAAUUAUUAUUAUCUUAAACUAAUGCAAAAGACUUUCUUGUCCCAUCUGUUAUUAAGUAAGUACAUUCUCUGAUCAUACAACCUUCAUAUUUAUGUUAACUACUUAUAUAGUUCUGUGUGUGUGUGUGUGUGUAUAUAUGUGUGUGUUUUGGAUAUUCUCAUUAAGUUCAUAUGAAUAAGGUGAUGAGGUAUAUAAGUUCACAGUUAAAUACAAAGAAUUGUCUAUGAUAAACAAUGAGAGAGUGUCGGUACGAGUAUCGCAAAAAGCGACAAAGUUAGUAUGCAAGUUUAGUCAGAUGAUCAAGAAACAUAUAUGGACUGUACAUGACUACAAUGUCAGUACAGUAUAAUCAAUGUUGGGGUUUUAUUCACAAAAGCCCAACCAAUUGUUUAAUAGAAUCCAGGGCAAAUAUUUUUUUUUGUUUCUCUUAAUAUCUUGAUUCUUGGUCCCAAGGCCUUAGUAAAGAGUGUGGUUAUCAUUGGUUUGUGAUUUGAAUUUUUCAAAAUAUAAAAUUCAAAGUAACAACAGAAUUUUAAAGCCCUAACACUAUCCUCUCAAAUGAAUUUUGCAAAACAGUUAUAUAGAAAUCAUAAUCAAACAGAUAAAAUAACAUCAAUGAUAACCAUUUUUCUUUACUAACGUCUUCUCUCCAUUUACCUAUGCAAUUUUAUACUGAAAUUUGUAAAUAUAUUGGAUAUCAUACCAAACUGUAUUUAGAAUAUUAUGUUAGUUUACAGUGUUAUAGGAACCCUGUUGUACAAUGUAUUCUUCUAUGCAUUUUUGUGUGUAGGUUUGUGAAAAGGGAUUUACAAUUAUCUAUAAAGAAGUAAUUGACUUGACCUAUUGUUUAUGAAUAUUAAUAAGUCACUGUUGUAAAAAUAACAUGCGUUAUCAAAGCAUCAGUUAAAAAAAAGGAAAAAUAUUUUUUUUCUAGUUGUUAUGGUUAGACGAUUUAAAUGGGAUUCUCAAGGUAUAACCUUUUCUCUUGUGGUAUGAGAAUAACAUUCAUAAUUACAUGAAUUAUCCUUCUCUAACCCACCUCACUUCCCACUGAAUUUUCUCUGAUUCUCUAAAUAAUAUUUUAAAUGCCUGAAAUCUGUGAAAGCCUCUAUUUCUGUUACCUCUGCUACUUAUAAUAUAUUUUUGCUUGUUAUUUAUUAUUUAUUUCAGACAUGAUAAUACUUGUUUGAAUGUGGUAUAUAUUCAUAUUUUGUGCAAACAUUUUUAGUCUUUUAGCAUAUUUUAUUUAUUUUUUAAAAUUUCAAACCAGCUUACUAUAAUUCAGGUUUCUAUUAAGUACUAUUUACCCCCUGAGCCUAAUAUAUGACAUAGCAUUUGAACAAAUUAACAAUCUAAACAUGUUUCUUUUGCAAAAAACAAAAAAAAAAUUCUGUUUAAAAACAAUUACAAAAAACAUUUAAUUUGUAUUUUUAGGGUGAUUGAUGUAAUUUCAUUCCAAACUUCUAUUCACCUGUAACAUGUAGGUGAUUUCAUUCCACCACCUGAAAAUAUUCUAUCAUUAGCAGAUCAGAAAUCUUUUUUUAAAAUCAUAACCUAUAUGUUGAUGAAAUUCUUUAAGAUGCAUCAUAAACCGCAGUCGAAGUAGACAGAUAAUACGUAGAUGGACAAUUUGAAGGAUAAUCAAAGUUAUACAGCAGCUACAAAAUUUUGUUAUCUAAAUGAAUAGAGGGUUACAAGCCAGAUGCAUGCCUAUAAAAUGCAAUUUCAUCUAAAUUCAUUUUGCAUUUACAGUCGCAGUAAAGAUUUGGCAAGCAUGGAUGAUUAGGAGUAAUUAAUUUAAAACUGUAGAACACAUCAUCAUUACAUUGGCUCCUCAUUAGGAAUCCUACUCAUAUCUUUAAAUUUAAAAUGUCCUGUUUGAUUUGAGCUUUCAGUCUGAGCCUCGUCUACAAUGUGUAAGUUCUGUUAUUUUUAUGGAUUUAUGUUGCAGCAUAAAUUAGUCAAGCUGUAUCGUACGGCAUAUAUCCCUAGAAAUUUUUAUAUCUCCCCUGCGGUUGGUUUUCAUCAUUUUAUGCUGAUUGGAGAUAUCUCAUGAUGUUGGAAAGUUCAUUUUCACACGUGAUCUGUACACGCUUGUGUGUAUGUAUGUGGCACGUAAAGGCUAGAGCAACCACCUUUCCAAUUAAAAGAAUUAGAAUGUUGGUUUUCUAGAAAACUUGAAACUUUCCUUAACAUUGGUUAUCAUUAAACACAUAAAAUGAAAUCAUAGGUAAUAACCAUAGAUCAGGGGUAACUUGAAUGACUACAUAUUUCAACCAAUUAGAAAUGUUCCUGAAGUUUACAUAGAGAAAGGCUAGGCCAGUAAAACAGGACCAUUUAUUAAAUACCUGAAAACUCUACAUCACUUAAACAAAACAAUACAAAAUAAUUCUGUUGUAAGGAAAAUCAUUUUCGACAAAUGAUUAAUAAAAAGUUGCAUAUUAUUUACUACCUUUAUUAUUAUUUUAAUUGGAAAUGGAACCAAAUUUAAAAUUAAUUACUUCUUUUUGUCCAUGUCAUUGUUGUUCUUGUUCUUGCAAUUCAGUUUCAAACCAUGAUUAGAUUUAGCUACUUGUUACUUUUAAUGAAGUAUGGAUGGAUUUGAUGUUUUAGUUUGUUGUUCUUGUCAACCACCAAUUUUUCGACUUCCUGUGUUCCUCCAAAAAUUAUCCUUCUAGAAUUAUUCAUCUUUAUCAUGAGUGCUAUAAAAUUUCUUCAUUAAAACCCCAGAAUUUUAUUGUACUUCUAAAUUGUGUGUACAAAUAAGUUAAAAAAACCUGAAAAAAGUCAGAAGAUUUAGUUAGCAUAAUUUUUUUUGUAUUAUUUUGAUUAAUAAUGUUUUGUAAUUGUAAUUACAAAAGUAUAAUUAUUAUUAUGAAUAAGUAUAAUUAUGUAUAACGUAAAUGUCUAUGUGUUUUUUCUUUGAUAUAAAUAAGACAUGUUUUUCAUAUAUAAAUGUGUGAAGAUCUGAUUUAAGUUGAACAUUUCAAAGAAGUUUCAGAUAAUAUAGUGUGGAUAACAUUGGGACAUAUGUGUACAUUUUGCAACAAAUGAUAUAAUGGUUUCUAUUAGACAAUUCAGAUGCUUUUUGUGUGCGCAAUUAUUUUUACCUCAAUACUGCCCUGCUUAGACAUUCAGACUUAUGUUGAUGAUAUCUAUAUAAAAUUUCAACAGUUGAUGUUAAAAUUAAUUAAUUUACUUGAAAAUUUGUAUGUGAUUUGUUUUAAAAAUACAUUUAGUGUUGAUCACUGUUUUUUGUCUUUUUAAAAUGUUUAUUUUUUCCUUUGAAACAUUAUGUCAAAGUAUUUAAAAAUUAUAUAUUAUUUAAGUAAUUAGCUCUAUAGCUUGCUAAUAGAAUGUGUUUAUGCUGUUUAUUGAUUUUUUUUUAAUUACUGAAGUUGGGAUUUCUCUUGAUCUUUCAAAACUGUGUAUUGUGUUCUUUCAAUUAUGCUGCGGUCCAAUGCAUUUAUGAUCGCAGUGAACACGACUCGUGAAUAUGACGUGAAAAACGUUCCAGUGUAAAUUGCAUUACAAAUGCAUGAGUGUUGUUUACGUAAGUAUACCAGUUGUACGCAAUUGUAAUUCAAUUUACAAUAAUAUGUGCGAGUUUGGUUAUGUGAAUAACUGAAAGUUUCUAAAAUUCAAAGUCUUGGCCAGGUAUUGGAAUGUUUUUCACAACUUCUCAAUUUGCAGAUCACGGUGAUCAUAAGUGCAUUGAAAUGCAUCAGUGUUUAUUCUGAAUGAUUUAAUAAUCAAUUUGUAUAUUAUGCUGUGGUUUUUCUUGAUGAUUACUGUAUUAAUCCAAUGAAAAUGUAUGGGAUUAUCCUGUGAAGUUAAUAGAUUAUCUGCCUGAAUCAAUCCUUGGGACCCAUUAGUGUGUAAAAGUAUCUGUCCGUUUGUAUUACGGCAGUACUUUGAACAUAGCACUUAACAUCUACACCAAGGCAUUUAGUAAUUUAUUCUUUUAUAUGCAUCACUACUAUUAGUACAAUAUUGUAUGUUAAGUAUAGUUUUCAAUAAUAAACCAAUCAUUUCGGGGGUGAUUUUGAAGUUAUCAGUUUUCUAGAUUUAAGUAGAAUUCAAUCUUCUUAUUUAUACUUCAUUUGUGGUGUAGAAUGCAGAAAAAACAAACAUUUUAGUCAAAUAUAUAAAUAAUGAUUUCAGUUUUUAUGAGUCUAUUAUGAAUAUAAGAUUUGAGUGCAAUAUUGAAAAUGUUUUAAUACACUUAAGUCUUUGUAGCGAGAAGGAUAUUGCAAGUUUGGAAAUUUUCUAUAGGUUUUAAUAAAAUGUUUCAACAUAUACUAGCUUGGUGUGGUAUUCCACAAACGGAGAGUUCCCUUAUAUAAAUUAUAAGAUAGGAUUGUUGAAUCUUUUACUCUUAUUACUUGUAAAUAAUAUGAUAAUGUCGGGCGAAACAUGUUUAUAGACUUUUUUCCUGAGCCCCUAUACUUGUGAUUAUAAAAAAAUUGUAGAAUGUAAGUUAUCUAAAUUACAUCUAACAUUUACCAAUCAUAAAUGCUAAUAAAAAUUGAUAUGUUGGGAGAAUGACCCUUUUUA